AAUGGGCAACGGUAGGUCAGUAUGCCCCGAAUAUCCCGGGCUACACGCGAGCUACAAUGGUUGGUACAAUGGGUAUCUACCCCGAAAGGGACGGGAAUCUCCUAAACCAAUCUUAGUUCGGAUUGAGGGCUGCAACUCGCCCUCAUGAAGCUGGAAUCCGUAGUAAUCGCGUUUCAACAGAACGCGGUGAAUACGUCCCUGCUCCUU
RNAcentral lists this ribosomal RNA (207 nucleotides) under uncultured Methanosaeta sp. Its description in RNAcentral is "partial 16S ribosomal RNA". It matches the Rfam family "Archaeal small subunit ribosomal RNA", at positions 1130 to 1338 of the family's 1478-position model. Lineage: Archaea; Methanobacteriati; Methanobacteriota; Methanomicrobia; Methanotrichales; Methanotrichaceae. The record is from RNAcentral.